GGGUGUGAGGUCAACCCAGCUGUGACACCAUAUUGGUUUCCACGGUUGAUUUGGAUGAUCUGGCUGGCAUGGCUGGCUAGCCAGGGUUCCCUUCCUCUCUCACCACUCCAUGUGCCUCCCUCCUGAACGAGUGCACACUCAGUCUAAGAGAAUGACCUCACACAGAGGAGAGCCAUUCUUCAAUCAAGGGUAUGUGAGUAUUUGCACCCUCCUGUUAGAACCUCUACACGAGCUUUCAGCAACGCAAGUAGGGCUGGAGAGAUGGCUCAGUGGUUAAGAACAAUUGUGUUCAAUCAUU
Molecule: unclassified non-coding RNA, 298 nt
Organism: Mesocricetus auratus (golden hamster)
Lineage: Eukaryota; Metazoa; Chordata; Mammalia; Rodentia; Cricetidae
Gene: 7SK
Rfam family: 7SK RNA
About the family: 7SK was discovered as an abundant small nuclear RNA in the mid-70s but a possible function has only recently been suggested. Two independent studies have found that 7SK RNA binds the CDK9/cyclin T complex (known as elongation factor P-TEFb).
Source: Ensembl